Molecule: long non-coding RNA, 2017 nt
Organism: Magnolia sinica
Lineage: Eukaryota; Viridiplantae; Streptophyta; Magnoliopsida; Magnoliales; Magnoliaceae
Exons: 5
Source: RefSeq, a predicted model, not a curated record
CCGGCUAUAGAGCUGGUGUGUGGUACAUCAGCCAAUCCGCUUCCAUCCUCCGUGUGAAGGUAGGCCACGGUCAAUCGGUGCCCAAUCCACUCGUUCCCUCUUUCUCGACCCUGCUCGCUCCAUUUCUCCCUCUCCCUCUCCCUCUAUAGGGUUUUCUCAUUUUAGCACGCUGCUUGAAUUAGGGGCAGCCAUUCUAGUUGAUUACGCAGCUGGGAGGUGGUAGCAAUGGUAAUAGUAGAAUGCUACCUUUUAGGCCGUUGAUUCGAAAGCGGAAGGUUGAUAGAUUUGAAUUUGGAGGUUUUGGAUUUAGGGGUUUCCGGAUUUGGGGGUUUUCGGAUUGAUAUUGGGAGUGGAGAUGGGAUGCAGCGACUGGGUUACCGGAUUUAAUGGUGUGGGUUGUCGGAAUUAAUGGUGUUGGGGUCUUACGAGAGAAUGGAGCAAAGGCUUCUCACGGAUGGAGACUCUUCAUGUAACAGGAUGCAUUGCUCAAGAAACUUCUUGAUGAUGAGUUCUUCUGGAGGAAGGUUUACCUCUUUGGCUGCACAGGGCCACCAAUGGACAAUCUCUUUUCUUCCAUCCUUGUCAGUUUUUUCAACUCUUUCCACCACUGAAUCCCUAUAAAGUUUGGCCAAUUUCCCAAUGCAAAGGGAAGCCCCAUGUGAGAAGACAGAAGCUUUCCAUGCUUGCAUCCAAAGACAGUGCCAUGCUCAAGAUUGUCUUUAGCAUGGUCAAGGCACACCUGUUUUAGGAUGCAUUGCCCAAGAAACUUCUUGAUGAUGAGUUCUUCUGGAAGACGGUUUACCUCUUUGGCUGCACAGAACCUCAAUUGGUUUUCUUCAAAAAUGGUGAAGGGAAAGUGAUAUGUAUCCCUGUCGUGGUGGUGGUAUGUUCACUCAUUGGCAUUAUCUUUUGUGUUACAUCUCUCAAGUUAAUAUAAGGUGUCUCAAAUUGAUUGUGAAAUUCACAUGCUAUAUCAAAUGAUCAAUUUUAAAAAUUGAUUUAGCUAGAUUGUUCGGUUCAUGCUCAAGUGCUCAAGUGCAACUGAAUAUUCUGUAUUGAGAUAUCGUUGAUACGUGUCGCAUGUAUUAAUGAUAUUCAGGAAUAUUUGUGAAUGGGUAGUGCAAUAUUUUGAGAUAUAUCAAUGUAUGGCUGCAACACUAAGUAUGGCUAAUAUCCCCUAAAAAAAAUUUUAAAAAAAAAAAGAGAAAAAAAAAGAAGCAAUUGUCUAUAUUGGAAAAUGCUUUUUUAUCUUCAUUGAUAUAUAGAGGACGUGGUAAUAUAUACUUCACAGUAUGCGUAUAGAUGGCUAACUUACCCGGUCCAAGAUGCAUGGGUCGAUACACUUGAACAUUUUUAAUCAGGUUGAUAUUCUCGUGAGCAUUGUUUGGAUAACAGGGAAAAGGUUUGAUGACAAUUUUCAUCGAUUUGAUCUAAGAAUACUCGAAUAUUAGAAGCUGUUUUAUAUUGACAAAAGUUAACAAAACUUGUAUUUUUCUUUGAUUUUAUAUCCAAGUUUCUAAUUCCUCUUUUUUCUUCUUUUGUAUUUGUAUGGUACAGUUCACUAUUCUUUUGCUGGCAAGACAUCUUGUCUCUAUACUUGUUGGUGGAACAAACCAUUAUGCAUUCACACUUCUCACUGAUUUACUUCUUUUUUUUUGUUGAUUUUGUCUAUUUUCUGAGUAGUUGUUGAAUAGCCUUGCAAUUCUUUUUGUUGAUGCCUUCCGAAAUAAUACCGAUAGUUCUCUUUGGGAGUUUGUUAUGGCCCAUUACUGGCAGAUUUUUCUCUAGGUUUUCUUCAAAUUGAGCCCACCUGAUGCACAUGUCAGACUUCCCAUGCAAGUGGUAGGCCAGUAGUGUGGCGUAUGAGGUGCACGUGGGCUUAACAAGCUGCUUUAGUAGAACCUGCAUUAGAGAUACAGGACAAGAUUUUAUUUAUCAUUAAUAAUAUUUUAGCUUCAAAUAUGGAUGUGAAAGUAAGAGAAUUUACUGAUGUCCUUAAAGAGCAGUACUAUCCAUG